UACGUAGGGCGCAAGCGUUAUCCGGAAUCAUUGGGCGUAAAGCGCGUGUAGGCGGUUCGGUAAGUCCGCUGUGAAAGUCGGGGGCUCAACCCUCGAAAGCCGGUGGAUACUGUCGGGCUAGAGUACGGAAGAGGCGAGUGGAAUUCCUGGUGUAGCGGUGAAAUGCGCAGAUAUCAGGAGGAACACCAAUUGCGAAGGCAGCUCGCUGGGACGUUACUGACGCUGAGACGCGAAAGCGUGGGGAGCAAACAGG
This 253-nucleotide ribosomal RNA is filed under the name uncultured bacterium. RNAcentral's name for it is "partial 16S ribosomal RNA". It matches the Rfam family "Bacterial small subunit ribosomal RNA", at positions 524 to 776 of the family's 1533-position model. The record is from RNAcentral.